AGGAGGAUUUCCAUCUCGUGGUGGCUUGGGCCAGAAGAUCUUUGUUGGUCGACUACCUCAAGAGGCAACAACUGAAGAUCUUCGCCAGUAUUUUGGUAGAUUUGGCCGUGUUUUAGAUGUGUAUGUCCCAAAGGAUCCAAGAAGACCAGGGCAUAGAGGGUUUGGUUUUGUUACAUUUGCUGAUGAUGGUGUUGCAGAUCGUGUUUCUCGAAGGCCUCAUGAGAUAUGUGGACAUCAGGUUGCAAUUGAUUCUGCUACUCCUCUUGAUGAUGCUGGUCCAAGUAACAAUUACAUGAUGGAUCCUCCUCCUCCUGCUCCUGAAGCAUAUGGGGGAUAUGGUGGUCCUAUGCGUACUUAUGGAAGGAUGUAUGGGGGCCUAGAUUAUGAUGAUUGGGGUUACGGCCUGGGUGGUGGGAGACCUUCAAGAUCAGAUAUGAGAUACAGGCCCUACUAGCUGGCCUGGUUGGAUAGGAGGCGGUCAAGAUCAGAUAUGAGAUUCAGGCCCUAGUAGCUUUGUGUUGCAGGAGGUCAGAGGCUGUCUGAAUUUCCAAUGGGUGACAACAAUAGAUAUGUCAUAUUUAUAUCAGUUUAUUAUUAGGUGGACAUCAUAAUACAUGUGCUACUAAUACUUAAGUAAUUGAAAAAGCAGUGCUGAUGGAUUGUGCAAUUCACUUCAUACUUGAUCCUUUGUAUUAAAUGUAUUGAAGAAACAAAGAAUGGGUGCUAAUUCCAUAUCCAGGAGUAGAAACA
Molecule: unclassified non-coding RNA, 750 nt
Filed under: Hevea brasiliensis (rubber tree)
Lineage: Eukaryota; Viridiplantae; Streptophyta; Magnoliopsida; Malpighiales; Euphorbiaceae
Source: RNAcentral